AGAGUAGGUCGAAUGAUCGCCGCCCUGGGUUGUCCGUGAGGAAACAACCGGGGGGGAGGAAAGUCCGAGCUCCAGAGGGCAGGGUGCUGGGUAACGCCCAGUCCCGGUGACGGGAGGAAAGUGCCACAGAAAAUAGACCGCCCAGGGAGGCCUGCGAGGGCUUAUACCACUGGGUAAGGGUGAAACGGUGAGGUAAGAGCUCACCAGCUCCAGUGGUGACAUUGGAGGCUUGGCAAACCCCACCCGGAGCAAGACCAAAUAGGAGAGCAUCCGAGGAUGGCCCGUCCAAGCUCUCGGGUAGGUCGCUGGAGAUCUCGGGUAACCGAGAUCCUAGAUGAAUGAUCAUUACCUGUUCGGGCUAUUCCCGAAUAGGCACAGAACUCGGCUUAUGACCUGCUCUAUUC
Molecule: RNase P RNA, 404 nt
Filed under: Deltaproteobacteria bacterium
Lineage: Bacteria; Pseudomonadati; Myxococcota; Myxococcia
Description: RNase P RNA component class A
Rfam family: Bacterial RNase P class A
About the family: Ribonuclease P (RNase P) is a ubiquitous endoribonuclease, found in archaea, bacteria and eukarya as well as chloroplasts and mitochondria.
Source: RNAcentral